RNAcentral lists this ribosomal RNA (498 nucleotides) under uncultured bacterium. Its description in RNAcentral is "partial 16S ribosomal RNA". It matches the Rfam family "Bacterial small subunit ribosomal RNA", at positions 28 to 507 of the family's 1533-position model. The record is from RNAcentral.
GACGAACGCUGGCGGCGUGCCUAAUACAUGCCAGUCGAACGAGAGCGCCCGGUGCUUGCACUGGUCACUCUAGUGGCGAACGGGUGAGUAACACGUGGGUAACCUGCCCAUCAGAGGGGGAUAACACCCGGAAACGGAUGCUAAAACCGCAUAGGUCUUCGAACCGCAUGGUUUGAAGAGGAAAAGAGGCGCAAGCUUCUGCUGAUGGAUGGACCCGCGGUGCAUUAGCUAGUUGGUGAGGUAACGGCUCACCAAGGCCGUGAUGCAUAGCCGACCUGAGAGGGUGAUCGGCCACAUUGGGACUGAGACACGGCCCAAACUCCUACGGGAGGCAGCAGUAGGGAAUCUUCCGCAAUGGACGCAAGUCUGACGGAGCAACGCCGCGUGAGUGAAGAAGGUUUUCGGAUCGUAAAACUCUGUUGUUAGAGAAGAACAAGUGCUAGAGUAACUGUUAGCGCCUUGACGGUAUCUAACCAGAAAGCCACGGCUAACUACGUG